Molecule: small nuclear RNA, 107 nt
Filed under: Microcebus murinus (gray mouse lemur)
Lineage: Eukaryota; Metazoa; Chordata; Mammalia; Primates; Cheirogaleidae
Source: RNAcentral
GUGCUCACUUUGGCAGCACACAUACUAAAAUUGGGGCGAUACAGAGAAGAUUAGCAUGGCCCAUGCACAAGGAUGACACGCAAAUUUGUGAAGUGUUUCCUAUUUUU